CCUACGGGAGGCUGCAGUGGGGAAUAUUGGACAAUGGGGGGAACCCUGAUCCAGCCAUGCCGCGUGUGUGAAGAAGGCCCUCGGGUUGUAAAGCACUUUCAGUGAGGAAGAACGCCUGGUGGUUAAUACCCAUCAGGAAGACAUCACUCACAGAAGAAGCACCGGCUAACUCCGUGCCAGCAGCCGCGGUAAUACGGAGGGUGCGAGCGUUAAUCGGAAUUACUGGGCGUAAAGCGCGCGUAGGUGGCUUGAUAAGCCGGUUGUGAAAGCCCCGGGCUCAACCUGGGAACGGCAUCCGGAACUGUCAAGCUAGAGUGCAGGAGAGGAAGGUAGAAUUCCCGGUGUAGCGGUGAAAUGCGUAGAGAUCGGGAGGAAUACCAGUGGCGAAGGCGGCCUUCUGGACUGACACUGACACUGAGGUGCGAAAGCGUGGGUAGCAAACAGGAUUAGAUACCCCAGUAGUC
RNAcentral lists this ribosomal RNA (464 nucleotides) under Vreelandella stevensii. RNAcentral's name for it is "partial 16S ribosomal RNA". It matches the Rfam family "Bacterial small subunit ribosomal RNA", at positions 338 to 795 of the family's 1533-position model. Lineage: Bacteria; Pseudomonadati; Pseudomonadota; Gammaproteobacteria; Oceanospirillales; Halomonadaceae. The record is from RNAcentral.